CCCUUAGAUGUUCUGGGCCGCACGCGCGCUACACUGUUUGAUUCAGCGAGUCUUAACCUUGACCGAAAGGUUUGGGUAAUCUUCUAAAGUCAAACGUGAUGGGGAUCGAUCAUUGCAAUUAUUGAUCGUGAACGAGGAAUUCCUAGUAAAUGCGAGUCAUCAGCUUGCGUUGAUUACGUCCCUGCCCUUUGUACACACCGCCCGUCGCUACUACCGAUUGAAUGGUUUAGUGAGAUCUCCGGAUUGGCUCUGUAGGUCCCGCAAGGGAUUUAUUAGUAGCCAAGAAGCUGCUCAAACUUGAUCAUUUAGAGGAAGUAAAAGUCGUAACA
RNAcentral lists this ribosomal RNA (329 nucleotides) under uncultured eukaryote. RNAcentral describes it as "partial 18S ribosomal RNA". It matches the Rfam family "Eukaryotic small subunit ribosomal RNA", at positions 1470 to 1796 of the family's 1831-position model. The record is from RNAcentral.